Molecule: small nuclear RNA, 101 nt
Organism: Loxodonta africana (African savanna elephant)
Lineage: Eukaryota; Metazoa; Chordata; Mammalia; Proboscidea; Elephantidae
Source: Ensembl
GCUCUGACAGGGCAUAUACUAAAAUUGGAACAAUACAGAUAAAAUUGGUAUGACUCCCACAUAAAGAUGACACAUAAAUUUGGGAAUCAUUCUGCAUACCU